UACGGAGUGUGCAAGCGUUACUCGGAAUCACUGGGCAUAAAGCGCGCGUAGGCGGGUUUCCAAGUCGGCUGUGAAAUCCCUCAGCUCAACUGAGGAACUGCAUCCGAUACUGUUUGUCUUGAGGACGGGAGGGGAGAGUGGAACUUCUGGUGAAGCGGUGAAAUGCGUAGAUAUCAGAAGGAACGCCGGUGGCGAAAGCGGCAUCCUGGACCGGCAUUGACGCUGAGGCGCGAAAGCCAGGGGAGCAAACGGG
Molecule: ribosomal RNA, 253 nt
Filed under: uncultured bacterium
Lineage: Bacteria
Description: partial 16S ribosomal RNA
Rfam family: Bacterial small subunit ribosomal RNA
Source: RNAcentral